This 253-nucleotide ribosomal RNA is filed under the name uncultured bacterium. RNAcentral's name for it is "partial 16S ribosomal RNA". It matches the Rfam family "Bacterial small subunit ribosomal RNA", at positions 524 to 776 of the family's 1533-position model. The record is from RNAcentral.
UACGUAGGGUGCAAGCGUUGUCCGGAAUUAUUGGGCGUAAAGAGCUCGUAGGCGGUCUGUUGCGUCGGCUGUGAAAACCCGAGGCUCAACCUCGGGCCUGCAGCCGAUACGGGCAGACUAGAGUUCGGCAGGGGAGACUGGAAUUCCCGGUGUAGCGGUGGAAUGCGUAGAGAUCGGGAAGAACAUCGGUGGCGAAGGCGGCCUGCUGGGCUGUUGCUGACGCUGAGGCGCGACAGCGUGGGGAGCAAACAGG